Molecule: ribosomal RNA, 472 nt
Filed under: uncultured bacterium
Lineage: Bacteria
Description: bacterial SSU rRNA
Rfam family: Bacterial small subunit ribosomal RNA
Source: RNAcentral
UGGGGAAUCUUGCGCAAUGGGCGAAAGCCUGAUCCAGCAAUGCCGCGUGAGUGAAGAAGGCCUUCGGGUUGUAAAGCUCUUUUGUCAGGGAAGAAACGGUGAAAGCUAAUAUCUUUUGCUAAUGACGGUACCUGAAGAAUAAGCACCGGCUAACUACGUGCCAGCAGCCGCGGUAAUACGUAGGGUGCAAGCGUUAAUCGGAAUUACUGGGCGUAAAGCGUGCGCAGGCGGUUUUGUAAGUCUGAUGUGAAAUCCCCGGGCUCAACCUGGGAAUUGCAUUGGAGACUGCAAGGCUAGAAUCUGGCAGAGGGGGGUAGAAUUCCACGUGUAGCAGUGAAAUGCGUAGAUAUGUGGAGGAACACCGAUGGCGAAGGCAGCCCCCUGGGUCAAGAUUGACGCUCAUGCACGAAAGCGUGGGGAGCAAACAGGAUUAGAUACCCUUGUAGUCCCUGAGCGGGCUGGCAAGGCGCAU